CGACCAUGUAAUAUCUCCAUGUAUACAUUGGUGCGUGUGUGGUAAUCCUGUGCUGGUCAUGAAAAAAUGAUCUAUCCUAGAGUGGGUCUUAUGCACUUGGGAGUAGUAGGUGUAGUCCUUAUCUCCUGGAUGUAGUGUGCGCCACACAUCGUAUAAGUUAAAUUGAAUUAGCAGUUUAUUAAGUUUGGCGCAGGCCGGUCUAAGAGAUGCCAGUCUGGGUUUUUUUGCGUCUAGUGUAGUGUCCAUUUCUGGGUCUAGGGUGUGGUUUAGGUCUCCACAGUAUAUUACUAUGCCUUGUUGUACAGUACUCACUUUAGUCAGUAUUUUAUGUAGGAAGUGCCAUUGAUUGUCGUUUGGUGCGUAGAUAUUGACUAUGGUGUAUGUGACAUCAUUGAGGUUGCAUAUUAGGAUGAGGUAUCUCCCAUUGGCGUCUUUAACUAUUUUGAGUGGAUCAAAUGCCACUGAUUUGUGUAUUAGAAUGCUAAC
Pelobates cultripes (western spadefoot toad) is the source of this 486-nucleotide non-coding RNA. The record is from the annotation of a GenBank genome assembly. NCBI's taxonomy places the organism in Eukaryota, Metazoa, Chordata, Amphibia, Anura, Pelobatidae.